AAUAGAUACCCCGGGUAGUCCACGCCGUAAACGAUGAGUGCUAGGUGUCGGAGGGGUCCCACCCUGCGGUGCCGAAGUUAACACAUUAAGCACUCCGCCUGGGGAGUACGAUCGCAAGACUGAAACUCAAAGGAAUUGACGGGGACCCGCACAAGCAGUGGGGUAUGUGGUUUAAUUCGAAGCAACGCGAAGAACCUUACCAGGUCUUGACAUCCCUCUGACCGGUCUAGAGAUAGGCCCUUCCUUCGGGACAGAGGAGACAGGUGGUGCAUGGUUGUCGUCAGCUCGUGUCGUGAGAUGUUGGGUUAAGUCCCGCAACGAGCGCAACCCUUGAUUCUAGUUGCCAGCACGUGAUGGUGGGCACUCUAGAGUGACUGCCGGUGACAAACCGGAGGAAGGCGGGGAUGACGUCAAAUCAUCAUGCCCCUUAUGACCUGGGCUACACACGUACUACAAUGGCCGGUACAACGGGCUGCGAAGGAGCGAUCCGGAGCCAAUCCUACCAAAGCCGGUCUCAGUUCGGAUUGCAGGCUG
This 534-nucleotide ribosomal RNA is filed under the name uncultured bacterium. RNAcentral's name for it is "bacterial SSU rRNA". It matches the Rfam family "Bacterial small subunit ribosomal RNA", at positions 777 to 1307 of the family's 1533-position model. The record is from RNAcentral.